UUGACGGGGGCCCGCACAAGCGGUGGAGCAUGUGGUUUAAUUCGAAGCAACGCGAAGAACCUUACCAGGUCUUGACAUCCCGUUGACCACUGUAGAGAUAUAGUUUCCCCUUCGGGGGCAACGGUGACAGGUGGUGCAUGGUUGUCGUCAGCUCGUGUCGUGAGAUGUUGGGUUAAGUCCCGCAACGAGCGCAACCCUUGAUCUUAGUUGCCAUCAUUUAGUUGGGCACUCUAAGGUGACUGCCGGUGACAAACCGGAGGAAGGUGGGGAUGACGUCAAAUCAUCAUGCCCCUUAUGACCUGGGCUACACACGUGCUACAAUGGACGAUACAAACGGUUGCCAACUCGCGAGAGGGAGCUAAUCCGAUAAAGUCGUUCUCAGUUCGGAUUGUAGGCUGCAACUCGCCUACAUGAAGCCGGAAUCGCUAGUAAUCGCGGAUCAGCAUGCGCGGUGAAUACGUUCCCGGGCCUUGUACACACCGCCCGUCACACCACGAGAGUUUGUAACACCCGAAGUCG
RNAcentral lists this ribosomal RNA (519 nucleotides) under Lysinibacillus sphaericus. RNAcentral describes it as "bacterial SSU rRNA". It matches the Rfam family "Bacterial small subunit ribosomal RNA", at positions 910 to 1429 of the family's 1533-position model. Lineage: Bacteria; Bacillati; Bacillota; Bacilli; Caryophanales; Bacillaceae. The record is from RNAcentral.